Myotis myotis is the source of this 3538-nucleotide RNA transcript. It is a transcript of the gene named SMAD family member 2, with no coding region annotated. NCBI's taxonomy places the organism in Eukaryota, Metazoa, Chordata, Mammalia, Chiroptera, Vespertilionidae. The transcript has 13 exons. The record is from RefSeq and is a predicted model, not a curated record.
CGGGCGGCAGGGUGCCAGCCCCGGGGCUGCGCCGGCGAAUCGGCGGGGCUCGCGGCCUGGGGUGGGAGGCGGGUCUACCGCGCGGCCGCGGCGGCGGAGGAACAGCUCCCAGCCAGCAGCCCGCGAGCUCCGAGCGAGCCUCCCGGAGCCCCUCAUCCCGUUCGGAAGAGGAAGGAACAAAAGGUCCCGGACCCCCGGCUCCGACGGGGCGGGACCCGGAGCCUCGGUCCAGGUUAGAAAAGGAAGGCUAUUUCCUUAGUGUGGAUUGCUGCCUUUAGUAAGAAUAUGUCGUCCAUCUUGCCAUUCACUCCACCAGUUGUGAAGAGACUGCUGGGAUGGAAGAAAUCAGCCGGUGGAUCCGGAGGAGCAGGUGGAGGAGAGCAGAAUGGACAGGAAGAAAAGUGGUGUGAGAAAGCAGUGAAAAGUUUGGUGAAGAAGCUAAAAAAAACAGGACGAUUAGAUGAGCUUGAGAAAGCUAUCACCACUCAAAAUUGUAAUACUAAAUGUGUCACCAUACCAAGCACUUGCUCUGAAAUUUGGGGACUGAGUACACCAAAUACGAUAGAUCAGUGGGAUACAACAGGCCUUUACAGCUUCUCUGAACAAACCAGGUCUCUUGAUGGUCGUCUUCAGGUAUCUCAUCGGAAAGGACUGCCACACGUUAUAUAUUGCCGAUUAUGGCGCUGGCCUGAUCUUCAUAGUCAUCAUGAACUCAAAGCAAUUGAAAACUGCGAAUAUGCUUUUAAUCUUAAAAAGGAUGAAGUAUGUGUAAACCCUUACCACUACCAGAGAGUUGAGACACCAGUUUUGCCUCCUGUGUUAGUACCACGGCACACUGAGAUCCUAACAGAACUACCGCCUCUGGAUGACUAUACCCACUCCAUUCCAGAAAACACUAAUUUCCCAGCGGGAAUUGAGCCCCAGAGUAAUUACAUUCCAGAAACACCACCUCCUGGAUAUAUCAGUGAAGAUGGAGAAACAAGUGAUCAACAGUUGAACCAAAGUAUGGAUACAGGAUCCCCAGCAGAACUAUCUCCUACUACUCUUUCCCCUGUUAAUCAUAGUUUGGACUUGCAGCCAGUUACAUACUCAGAACCUGCAUUUUGGUGUUCAAUAGCCUAUUAUGAAUUAAACCAGAGGGUUGGAGAGACCUUCCAUGCAUCACAGCCCUCACUUACUGUAGACGGCUUCACAGAUCCAUCAAAUUCAGAGAGAUUCUGCUUAGGUUUACUCUCCAACGUCAACCGAAAUGCUACAGUAGAAAUGACAAGAAGACAUAUAGGAAGAGGAGUGCGCUUAUAUUACAUAGGUGGGGAAGUUUUUGCUGAGUGCCUAAGUGAUAGUGCAAUCUUUGUGCAGAGCCCCAAUUGUAAUCAGAGAUACGGCUGGCACCCUGCAACAGUGUGUAAAAUUCCACCAGGCUGUAAUCUGAAGAUCUUCAACAACCAGGAAUUUGCUGCUCUUCUGGCUCAGUCUGUGAAUCAGGGUUUUGAAGCCGUGUAUCAGCUAACUAGAAUGUGCACCAUAAGAAUGAGUUUUGUGAAAGGGUGGGGAGCAGAAUACCGAUAGUGGUACCAGUUACGUAAUUGAGUUUUACAAAAGCACAUUUGUCAUCAAGAGGUAAGAUAGAUUACAAUAGAUUGGAUUCCACAUCAAAGAAAAGGAAGACUUCAGCAUAUUAAAGAAUGGAAUUAAGGCAGACGGUAACAAGCACUCCUUGCUGGAUUGAACUUCAUCUGAAUGGACCUCUGCAGUGGUUGGACAAAGUAUUAACUCAGAUGGGAUCCCCUUCAGUGCGUUGCUCAAGCAUGUCAUAAAGUUCCAUCACCAAUCCAGUCCCAUCAAAAGACUUACUGUAUCAACUCUUCUGUCAUAGUAUUUGUGUGUGGUCCCCAUGGACUGUUUGAAUCCAAAAAUUCAACCGAGAAAACAGCACUUGAGGUCUCAUCAAUUAAAGCACCUUGUGGAAUCCGUUUCCUAUAUUCGAAUAUUAGAUGGGAAAAUUAGUGUCUAGAAAUACCCUCCCAUAAAGGAGGAAGAGAAGAUUUUAAAGACUUACUAAUGUCUUGUUGGGCAUAAAAUUGAGUGUCCCAAAGGCUUAUUAAUAACAGUAGUAGUUAUGUGUACAGGUAAUGUAUCAUGAUCCAGUAUCACAGUAUUGUGCUGUUUAUAUACAUUUUUAGUUUGCAUAAAUUAGGUGUGUGUGUGCUGCUUCUUGAUUUAGGCAAGCUUUUAUAAAGUUACAGUACCUAAUCUGUUAUUCCCACUUCUCCGUUAUUUUUGUGUGUCUUUUUUAAUAUAUAAUAUAUAUCAAGAUUUUCAAAUUAUCAUUUAGAAGCAGAUUUCCCUUGUAGAAAAACUAAUUUUUCUGCCUUUUACCAAAAAUAAACUCUUGGGGGAAGAAAAGUGGAUUAACUUUUGAAAUCCUUGAUCUUACUGUGUUCAGUGAGUCUUAAACAUUUGUUCUUGUUGGUUGGUUGGUUUGUUUAGUGCUAAAUUUCUGUAACAAAGCCUUGCAGAAAAUCUUUUCAAACCUCUUCUCCAUUCCUACUUUUGUUCUGAUACAAAAACAGAAUAGCAUGCUAUCCAUCGCCAGUAAUGGUUGCACUGAUAGUGCCAGCAUCAGUCACUUCUGGGGUACAGUAAGAAUGCAUAUGGAGUAAGUUGCUUUGUCUUACACAUUUCAACAGAUAAUACUUGACUUGUGUGACCUAGUAGUCUAUUCAUUUAUCCUUACACCUCAUAAAAAAUACAUAGGUGGCAGUAUAAUUAUUUUCAGGGAUAUGCUACAAUUAUUCCAUUUGUCCUUUUUUAAAAGCCAAUCUAUAGAUGUAAACACUUUUUUUAAAGGUAUUUUAAAUGUUUCAACAGCACACCUAGUGCUCUUUGAUUUGAGUUUCACUUGAUUUAGUUACCAGAUUAUUUUAUGAAUGGGCCUUUUGUAAAUGUAAUUGUACCUGCAGAAUACCUAGAAAAGUGAUGCUGAGGUGUGGUCAGCAGAUAAGGGCCAUCUGUUUUUAAAAUAUGUUGUAUUCAAUUUAUAAAAUCUUUUUUUUUACAUAAUUAUUAAUGGAAUUUUAAAAAUUUGGGGAGAAGCAGCUUCGCAACUUUUUAAGCUUAUAAUCACCUACAGUCUGAGCUGUUCUUAACUAAAACUGAAUAUAUGUUUGUUACUAGAAUCAACCACAUUUUAUGCUCUGCAGUGAGUGGAACAGAAGCUCUGUGCGUAGUUCGUUCUGCAGCAAGUAACUCCCAGGUCUAAUGUGAAGUUAUUGCUGUUUAAACAUUACUUGUUUGCAUCUCAAUAGAAAUGAAAAAUAACCACUCCUAGUCCCCUACUAGUAAAUUUUUAUAUUUUUAGGAUAAAUAUCUUAGGUACUUGUUUUUUUAAACCAUAGUCACCUGUUUCUACAGGUGUCAUUUUCAGUACUUUCAGCAUUUGGUUGUUUUCUGUUAAGUAUUCCUCAUUUUCCAAUAUUUGUGUGUACAUACAUGUAUUCUUGUAAACGUGUAGUAAAUUUUUACUCAUUCAAAUAUU